Molecule: ribosomal RNA, 254 nt
Filed under: uncultured bacterium
Lineage: Bacteria
Description: partial 16S ribosomal RNA
Rfam family: Bacterial small subunit ribosomal RNA
Source: RNAcentral
UACGUAGGGGCCAAGCGUUGUCCGGAUUUAUUGGGCGUAAAGAGCUCGUAGGCGGUGUGUCACGUCGGCCGUGAAAACCUGCAGCUUAACUGUGGGCGUGCGGUCGAUACGGGCAUCACUGGAGUUCGGCAGGGGAGACUGGAAUUCCUGGUGUAGCGGUGAAAUGCGCAGAUAUCAGGAGGAACACCGGUGGCGAAGGCGGGUCUCUGGGCCGAUACUGACGCUGAGGAGCGAAAGCGUGGGGAGCAAACAGG